AUACUUACCUGGCAGGGGAGAUACCAUGAUCACGAAGGUGGUUUUCCCAUGGCAAGCUUAUCCAUUGCACUCAGUAUGUGCUGACCCCUGUGAUUUCCCCAAAUGUGGGCAACUCGACUGCAUAAUUUGUGGUAGUAGGGGACUGUGUUUGCACUUUCCCCUG
Molecule: small nuclear RNA, 163 nt
Organism: Cebus imitator (Panamanian white-faced capuchin)
Lineage: Eukaryota; Metazoa; Chordata; Mammalia; Primates; Cebidae
Gene: U1
Rfam family: U1 spliceosomal RNA
About the family: U1 is a small nuclear RNA (snRNA) component of the spliceosome (involved in pre-mRNA splicing).
Source: Ensembl